This 449-nucleotide ribosomal RNA is filed under the name uncultured prokaryote. Its description in RNAcentral is "bacterial SSU rRNA". It matches the Rfam family "Bacterial small subunit ribosomal RNA", at positions 355 to 796 of the family's 1533-position model. The record is from RNAcentral.
UGGGGAAUAUUGCACAAUGGGCGCAAGCCUGAUGCAGCAAUGCCGCGUGUGUGAAGAAGGCCUGCGGGUUGUAAAGCACUUUCAGUAGCGAAGAAAAGCCUGAGGUUAAUAGCCUCGAGUCUUGACGUUAGCUACACAAGAAGCACCGGCUAACUCCGUGCCAGCAGCCGCGGUAAUACGGAGGGUGCGAGCGUUAAUCGGAAUUACUGGGCGUAAAGCGCGCGCAGGCGGUUUGGCAAGUCGGAUGUGAAAUCCCCGGGCUUAACCUGGGAAUUGCAUUCGAUACUGUCUGACUAGAAUGUGAUAGAGGUAAGUGGAAUUCCCGGUGUAGCGGUGAAAUGCGUAGAUAUCGGGAGGAACAUCAGUGGCGAAGGCGGCUUACUGGAUCAACAUUGACGCUGAGGCGCGAAAGCGUGGGGAGCAAACAGGAUUAGAUACCCCCGUAGUCC